Molecule: long non-coding RNA, 220 nt
Filed under: Elaeis guineensis (African oil palm)
Lineage: Eukaryota; Viridiplantae; Streptophyta; Magnoliopsida; Arecales; Arecaceae
Description: long non-coding RNA (EGUI_LNC049966)
Source: RNAcentral
GUGAACCCAUGAAUUGGAUUUGAUUAGAUCAAACUCGAAACCUAUUGUAGAGGCACCAUUAAGGAGAUCAGAUGGAGUACUGCAUCUGUCAGAUGGUAUUUUGAUUUCUAGUUCUGAGACGUGAUCCUGUUGAACUUGAUGAGGACAACAAGAAUUUGAUCACCUACAUAGAUACCAUGCAAAGGUUCGACUCUAAUUAAUGGCUUGGAGCCAUAGAUCC